GGGUUACUAACAGAAAUCAUGGCAUAGGUGUGUGCAUUUUUGGCGAGAAGCCAUGAAGGUCCAAAAGUACUUGAAGAGGAGGAGGACAACGCGGCCCGGCUCAGGCGGCCCAAAGUAAAAGAGCGGUCAGCUCCUCGGCUCAGUUCAGACUGCGAACGAGAGUUCACAUAUAUUGACUCAAGGCACAGGGUGAAGAAGAGAGAAACGAGUCGGGUGAUCGGACCUGGUUCGACUCACAUUUGCCGAUUUCAAUCCGAGAUAUCUCCGUCGACACACACUCUCCGCGCAGCGAUGAGCGGGCACGACUCCAAGUACUUCUCCACCACCAAGACGGGAGAGAUGCCUGAACUCAAAGAAGAGCUCAAUUCUCAGUACAAGAAUCAUGAACUAUUGCUGCCCCCAAGGCAUUGGUGCGAUGGAUAAGCACCGACAUUCUAGUAGGGGUAUCAUGUGUUCGAUUCCAAUUGAUGCCCUUCUUGAAGGUGUUCCCAGUUAAUUCUCUAGAGGUUUUCCUAGUCUCGGAUUUGACGAAAGACUAACCGGUGCUGAAAACCGUAGCAGCGUCCAAUUAACCCAUGGGGGAAGGCCGCCAACCCGUCGAUUUGGUGCUGCAUCAAGGGGUCCAAAGAGUGGCUCGUUGAUGGCUGGAGUUCUCACGAUAAUCCCAAAAAACAAAUGAACUAUUGCCACAAUGAGGUGCCAAUGCGUGGGAUGCAAAUGCGUGGGAUGCAAGCCCCGGGGGAAAGAUGUGCAAAGAAGACACAGAUGACGAAGAAGACAACUAGUGGAAGACGUGAUUUGUGUUAGUAAUAUCUUGGUCAUGUAAGAUUGUAUCGCCUUAAUUUUUAAAAAUAGGGAUAAUUGUGUUCUUGAGGCAGAAUUGUAUGUCUUCUCUUAAAAAAUAAAGAUGAUUUUGUCUUUAAAA
RNA transcript from Malania oleifera, 925 nucleotides. RefSeq lists it as uncharacterized. The record is from RefSeq and is a predicted model, not a curated record. NCBI's taxonomy places the organism in Eukaryota, Viridiplantae, Streptophyta, Magnoliopsida, Santalales, Ximeniaceae. The transcript has 2 exons.